Molecule: ribosomal RNA, 433 nt
Filed under: uncultured bacterium
Lineage: Bacteria
Description: partial 16S ribosomal RNA
Rfam family: Bacterial small subunit ribosomal RNA
Source: RNAcentral
AACGAACGCUGGCGGCAGGCUUAACACAUGCAAGUCGAACGCACCUUUCGGGGUGAGUGGCAGACGGGUGAGUAACGCGUGGGAAUCUACCCUUCUCUACGGGAUAGCUCCGGGAAACUGGAAUUAAUACCGUAUACGUCCUGAGGGAGAAAGAUUUAUCGGGGAAGGAUGAGCCCGCGUUGGAUUAGCUAGUUGGUGGGGUAAAGGCCUACCAAGGCGACGAUCCAUAGCUGGUCUAAGAGGAUGAUCAGCCACAUUGGGACUGAGACACGGCCCAAACUCCUACGGGAGGGAGGAGUGGGGAAUAUUGGACAAUGGGCGCAAGCCUGAUCCAGCCAUGCCGCGUGAGUGAUGAAGGCCCUAGGGUUGUAAAGCUCUUUCAGUGGGGACGAUAAUGACGGUACCCACAGAAGAAGCCCCGGCUAACUUCGUG